GACGAACGCUGGCGGCGUGCUUAACACAUGCAAGUCGAACGGAAAGGCCCUGCUCUUGUGGGGUGCUCGAGUGGCGAACGGGUGAGUAACACGUGAGUAACAUGCCCCUGACUUUGUGAGAACAUCUGGGAACUGCGGCUAAUACCCGGUAGGAGCUCCUGCUCCGUGGGGGGCGUUGGAGAGUUUCGGCGGUUCGGGAUGGACUCGCGGCUUAUGAGCUGGAUUGGCGGGUAGGUGCUUUCCAGGGCUAUGAAGGGUAGCCGGCCUGGGAGGGUGAACGGCGACAUUGGGCCUGAGAGACGGCCCAGACUCGUACGGGAGGCAGCAGUGGGGAAUAUUGCAGAAUGGGCGGAAGCCUGAUGCAGCAACGCCGCGUGCGGGAUGACGGCCUUCGGGUUGUAAACCGCUUUCGCCGGUGACGAAGCGUGAGUGACGGUAAUGGGUAAAGAAGCACCGGCUAACUACGUG
RNAcentral lists this ribosomal RNA (468 nucleotides) under uncultured bacterium. RNAcentral describes it as "partial 16S ribosomal RNA". It matches the Rfam family "Bacterial small subunit ribosomal RNA", at positions 28 to 507 of the family's 1533-position model. The record is from RNAcentral.